UCCGCUGACGAGCGGCGGACGGGUGAGUAACGCGUAGGAAUCUACCCAGUAGCGGGGGAUAAGCCAGAGAAAUUUGGUCUAAUACCGCAUACGCCCUUCGGGGGAAAGCAGGGGAUCUUCGGACCUUGCACUAUUGGAUGAGCCUGCGUGAGAUUAGCUAGUUGGUGAGGUAAUGGCUCACCAAGGCGACGAUCUCUAGCUGGUCUGAGAGGAUGAUCAGCCACACUGGAACUGAGACACGGUCCAGACUCCUACGGGAGGCAGCAGUGGGGAAUAUUGCACAAUGGGCGCAAGCCUGAUGCAGCCAUGCCGCGUGUGUGAAGAAGGCCCUAGGGUUGUAAAGCACUUUCAGCAGUGAGGAAAGGUUAGUAGUUAAUACCUGCUAGCUGUGACGUUAACUGCAGAAGAAGCACCGGCUAACUCCGUGCCAGCAGCCGCGGUAAUACGGAGGGUGCGAGCGUUAAUCGGAAUUACUGGGCGUAAAGCGCGCGUAGGUGGAUUGGUCAGUCAGAUGUGAAAGCCCAGGGCUCAACCUUGGAACUGCACCUGAUACUGCCAAUCUAGAAUACGGUAGAGGGUAGUGGAAUUUCCUGUGUAGCGGUGAAAUGCGUAGAUAUAGGAAGGAACACCAGUGGCGAAGGCGACUACCUGGACCGAUAUUGACACUGAGGUGCGAAAGCGCGGGGAGCAAACAGGAUUAGAUACCCUGGUAGUCCACGCCGUAAACGAUGUCUACUAGCCGUUGGGGGACUUGAUCUUUUAGUGGCGCAGCUAACGCGAUAAGUAGACCGCCUGGGGAGUACGGCCGCAAGGUUAAAACUCAAAUGAAUUGACGGGGGCCCGCACAAGCGGUGGAGCAUGUGGUUUAAUUCGAAGCAACGCGAAGAACCUUACCAACUCUUGACAUCCAGAGAACUUAG
Molecule: ribosomal RNA, 920 nt
Filed under: uncultured bacterium
Lineage: Bacteria
Description: bacterial SSU rRNA
Rfam family: Bacterial small subunit ribosomal RNA
Source: RNAcentral